UUUUUUUUUUUUUUUUUAAAGUAACUGUUGAGGGCAGCCCAGGUGGCUCAGCGGUUUAGCGCUGCCUUCAGCCCAGGGUGUGAUCUUGGAGACCUGGGAUCGAGUCCCAUGUCCGGCUCCCUGCAUGGAGCUUUCUCCCACUGCAUGCGUCUCUGCCUCUCUCUUUCUCUGUGUCUCUCAUGAAUGAAUAAAUAAAUAAAUAACCUUUAAAAAAAAUAAAGUAACUGUUGGUCCUUUUGGCACUAAAGAGGUACAAGAACCUUAAGAUUCUAUUUAAAAGCAUAAUCUCAUUUUAUGCCAUCAUGGAAUUUAUUUGUCAAUAAAAAUAUCAUUACGAAAAGGAAGAUGUUGGUUGACAAUGAAGUUGCAAAUCAAAAUCAGCUAGACAAUUUGAUAAACAACAAAAUAACUGUGCAUUUGUAGGAAAUGCCUCUAUAAACAAAAAUAUAUAUUUAGUUGGUAGUUUCUUCCUUUAUGUACAUAUUAAACUCACUUCAAUGUUUAGUUUCUUUUAUCAAGAGUAUGUGUUUUUUAAGUGCUAAUAUAGAUGAAGGAAAUCCAAACUUUUAAAUAUUAAAAAAUAUAUGUAUAUACACACACACACACACACACAGUAUUCGAUUUAAUACUGAAUUUCCCCAGCUACAGUAAAUUAGAGAUUAAAUCUCUCUGUUUCCUUGAAAAAAAAAUCACGGAGCAGCUGUCUUCUCUGAUAGAAGACUAUUUAAUCUUUAAAUCAUUUUGAACUGGCUCAGUUGCUUUACUGAUCCUUUAACUUUGUCAAAAAUUAUCUUAGAAGCUUAUCUUUGAGAGAAAUCAGAGAUAAAGGAGCUAAUUAAUGGAGAUGAGAGUUCUGAGGUUCUGAAUCAUAUGUGGUCAGUGAAUGGUGGAUAAGGUGGAAGGAGACUUCAAAAUGAAAACUUCAAAGAUUGUUAUGAUUUCUCAUGGGCUGUUUUGAAAACUAGCUCAUUUUUAUUGCUAGGGGGAUGUUUGCAGGGAAAGGGAGUAAAGGCAAUCAGCAAAGAAAUGAUGGAACUAGAAAGUUAUCGCAAACCUUUGUUUCUCUGAAGGCUUUGUAGAUCAGAGAACCACCUCAAGCUCUACUCACUUUCUCACUGACCUUGCAUUCCCUUGUUUUCCUUUAAUUUAUUGCUGUGCUAAUCUGACUUAAAAUGGGCAAGACUUGCAAAAAGAAAAGCAAUUAUUGAAGUAUCUAUGAAGAAAGUUCUGUUAUUUUAAUGUGUGGGAUGCCCCCAUUUCUCUCAACUACUGCUAUGGAAGCAAGAUUUUAUGUAACUGGCCCACCAGUCUUUUUCAUCAACUCCUGCUUUAGAGUGAGUAUUGAUGGGAGCAGAGGGCACCCAGUCUGUGGCCUGGGGCAGAUAGGGAGAACCAAGGUGGAGCCGCAGUAGUUCAAGGGCACUGAGACACAGGGACAGAGGCUUGGCAUCUUCU
RNAcentral lists this long non-coding RNA (1455 nucleotides) under Canis lupus familiaris (dog). Its description in RNAcentral is "lncRNA (ENSCAFG00000054122.1)". The record is from RNAcentral. Lineage: Eukaryota; Metazoa; Chordata; Mammalia; Carnivora; Canidae.